Molecule: ribosomal RNA, 169 nt
Filed under: uncultured bacterium
Lineage: Bacteria
Description: partial 16S ribosomal RNA
Rfam family: Bacterial small subunit ribosomal RNA
Source: RNAcentral
CCUACGGGAGGCAGCAGUGGGGAAUAUUGCACAAUGGGCGAAAGCCUGAUGCAGCAACGCCGCGUGAGCGAUGAAGGCCUUCGCCUCGUAAAGCUCUGUCCUCAAGGAAGAUAAUGACGGUACUUGAGGAGGAAGCCCCGGCUAACUACGUGGGAGCAGCCGCGGUAAU